Molecule: ribosomal RNA, 253 nt
Filed under: uncultured bacterium
Lineage: Bacteria
Description: partial 16S ribosomal RNA
Rfam family: Bacterial small subunit ribosomal RNA
Source: RNAcentral
UACGUAGGUGGAAAGCGUUAUCCGGAAUUAUUGGGCGUAAAGCGCGCGUAGGCGGUUUUUUAAGUCUGAUGUGAAAGCCCACGGCUCAAACGUGGAGGGUCAUUGGAAACUGGAAAACUUGAGUGCAGAAGAGGAAAGUGGAAUACCAUGUGUAGCGGUGAAAUGCGCAGAGAUAUGGAGGAACACCAGUGGCGAAGGCGACUUUCUGGUCUGUAACUGACGCUGAUGUGCGAAAGCGUGGGGAUCAAACAGG